RNAcentral lists this long non-coding RNA (33621 nucleotides) under Zostera marina. RNAcentral's name for it is "long non-coding RNA (ZMAR_LNC001090)". The record is from RNAcentral. Lineage: Eukaryota; Viridiplantae; Streptophyta; Magnoliopsida; Alismatales; Zosteraceae.
UCUCUUCAUUGUUUGUUGGAAUUUCAUAAUCCUCUAAUAUGAUCUUCCAUACUCCAUUGUUGAUUGACUUCAAGUAUAACUUCAUCUUGUUCUUCCAGAAGUCAUACUUUACUCCAUCGAACCUGGGAGGUUUGUUUGACGCAAGACCAGUGUUGAAUUCACCAUUUGGUGUCAUAGUUGUUGUUGUAAGAUGUUAGUCAAACUUCAACGGUACUUGGCUCUGAUACCACUUGUUGGAUCGAGAUCCGAGGCUAUAAGGGGAGAUAAUAGCCUCUUUUCGAUUUAUGCAAGUUAAUAGCGGAAUUACCUGCACACACUUAAGUACACAAAUGGUUGUAUAAUAAUAAUAGUAUAAUAUUGUUAGCAAUAUAAUACUAUUAUAUCAUUUUAAAGAAUAUAAUAUUAUAUCUUAUAAUAUUAUAUAUAUUGGACUUGCCUUUUGCUCUUGAAGUUUACUACAGUAUAUGAAUACGUAGUCAACUUUUUAGAUGGUGUUUUAUAAACAACUAUAGUAUAUGAAUACUAAGUUAUAUUAUAAACACAAAUUAUAUUAUAGAGUAAAUGACCAGAUAACUGGAUAUAUUGAUAAGCAAGUAAAUGACUAGAUAACUGGAUAUAUUGAUAAGCAAGUAAAUGACCAGAUAACUGGAUAUAUAUAUGAUAAGUAAAUGCUUGAACAAAUAUAUGAAUAAGGAUUUAAAGCAAUUAAUAUAACCUCAGAUAGUUGACCAGAUAACUGGAUGAGGGAUCUGCGUAAAGUAGUCAACCUCUGUAUUUGACCAGAUAACUGGAAGAGAGAUCCUUUUCAAUUAAGUGUUGUUUAGUUGUUUUUAGAUGAAAGAUAAAAACUAGAGUUAACAAAGAACAACACAAGAGAUUUAUACUGGUUCACCCAAACAAGGGCUAGUCCAGUCCCGACCAACUGUCAGAAUUCACUCGCCUAAAGGUUAUGGCAAAACCUUAGAGUAUCAAGGAAACUCUUAAGAACCUCUCUAAGCUUUAAGGCUAGUUCGCUUAGGAACCAGUCUUUUACGGGUAGACUCACACCUUAGAGUAUCAAGGGCACUCUUAAGAACCUCUAACUUUUGCGGGUAAGUUAGUACCUUAGAGUAUCAAGGAACUCUUAAAAACCUCUCUAAGCUUUAAGGCUACUUCGCUUAGGAACCAGUCUUUUACGGGUAGACUCACACCUUAGAGUAUCAAGGGCACUCUUAAGAACCUCUAACUUUUACGGGUAAGUUAGUACCUUAGAGUAUCAAUGAACUCUUAAAAACCUCUGAAAUCUUUCAAGGUAGACUCGACCUAAGAGUUUUCCCGGAAACUCUAUAAAACCAAACUAGAGCUUUAUGGUUGAGCUCAAAAACCUUCUCUCACACUUUGGUACUAUUGAGACAACCCUCUCAACCAAAGUGGACACACACAAGAGGUGAUUAGAGGAGUGGAAUAUUAAAGCAAACAACACUUCUUACUUGUAAAGAUGAACAAGAAGAUUAGAAGAAGAAGUUGGAGAGCUUUUGAAGCUUUGGAAAGCUAGGACACUUGAGCACUUGAAAGCUUGGAAGCUUGGAGGCAAAAACGUGUGGGCAAGUGUGGAGUGAAUGCUCUUGAGUUUGCUUGUAGUGUGGUAAGUGAAAAUGAGGGGUUUACCCUUCUAUUUAUAGCCUUGGCCACUCAAUGUCCACCCUUGGAUCUUCAAUGGAUGGCUCCUUGAUUUCUCACAUAAAUCCAAGCUUUGUCUUUGAUCUUAUCUUGAAUAGUGCUUUUAUUGGAUAGAGUUUGUUGGAGAAUCUUAUCUUUGUAUAAAUUCAAACUUGAAUAGUGUUUUGUCCCCUUGGAAUAUUAUACCUUGAAUAAAGUGUCAAAAGAUAAUAAUAAUAAUAUUCAAGGUAAAAAUGCAAUUAUUUCAAAUAAUAUUCAAGGUGAAAAUGCAAUUAUUCCAAAUAAUAAUAUUCAAGGUGAAAAUGCAAUUCUCCCAAUUUGACUUUUAACUUUGACUUAAACCCUUAACUCAAAUCAUUAAUUAAUUAACUGGAGUUAGGUUUAAUAUCGAUUGACUAUUUAACCCAUAUUGAUUAAUAGUGUAAUUAGGGUUUAAAUUGACAUGAUUAAAAUAUAAUCCUAUGUCGACAAUUUUGAUUCUACACUCGCAACCCCGCGAGCCUACUGGUAGCAGAUUUCGUGCUUCAUCAGGAACUAAAUUCCAGGUCUUGUUAUCAAUCAAAGCUUUAUAUUCUUCUUUCAUUUUUUGAAGCCAAUGCGGUGUUGCCAUGGCUUGUUUAUAGUUCUUAGGUGUAUCUUCUAAAUUUUUAACUACCUCUACCACCAAAGCCUUUGGUAGGUUAACUUCAAAAAUAUUAUAUUUUGUUGGAAAUUUUGAAGUUCUACCUCCUCUUCUUAGAUGAGUGUGUGUGUUAAACUCAUUUACUAAGUUUUGAGGUAUUGUUGUAACUACUGGUUGAGGUAUUGCUGUAGCUACAGGUUGAGGUAUUCUAGUGGCAGAUUCUUCUGUUUCCUAAAUUUCCGAAUGAUGACUUCUUCCUUCAUUUUCAGUUACAAUUGUUGGUGUUGUAGUGGGAAUCCUAGUGUUAUCACUUAUAUCUUCCGAGCCUUGAUUUUCUCUUGAAGUUCCUUGAAUGUCACUUAUUGUUCGAGAAUUCAGAGUUUGCGCAUUAUUGUUUAUUUUCAUGGGAAGUGGAAGUCUAAUGUUAUUUAGACUUGUUUUCUUAACCAUAUCAUUUAUAUCUGAUUUGAUCUUAUAGUCUUUGUAUGGAAAAGUAUCUUCAUGAAACUGGACAUUCCUGGAUAUUAUUAUCUUAGAAUCCUUAAGUCUAAAGCAUUUAUAUGCUUUAUGAGAUUGUGAAUAACCUAAGAAACAACAAUAACAAGAAGUUGAUUGAAACUUGUUUCUUAAAUGUAUAGGUAUGAGAGGAAAACAUUAGUGACCAAACACUCUAAGAUAUUUAAUAUCUGGUUCUCUAUCAUAUAACAAGGAAUAAGGUGAAUUAUAACCUAAUUUCUUGGAAGGUAAUCUAUUUAGAGUAUACACAGCUGCACUGCAAGCUUCUACCCAGUAGUCUUUUGGUAUUUCAGAGUGAAAGAAGAAACACCUUGCCAUUGACACAAGAUGUCCAUGUUUCCUUUCUACCAAACCAUUUUGUUCAGGAGUGAAUGGAGUAGACAAUCUGUGUUUAAUUCCAUGUUUCUUACACAAAUUACUAAAUUUAGCAUUCAAAAAUUCACCACCACAGUCUGAUUGUAUUGUUAUAAUUUUACACUCCAACGAGUUUUCAAUCAGUUUUUGGAAUUCUCUAAAUUUCUCAAAAACUUCAUCCUUAGUUUUUAAAGGAUAAAACCAUGAAAAUCUUGAAUAUUCAUCAACUAUAAGUAAAUAAUACUUACGACCAUGAAUUGAGGGAAUGGGGGCAGGACCCCAUACAUCCAUGUGAAUUACUCCUAAUGGCCUGUUGCUAUACUUUGUUUUAGAUUUAAAGGGCAAUUUUUUCAUUUUAUUCAUUGGACACACAACACAUUUUUCUUUGCAUUCACUUGUUUUAAUCUUAUGUAUUUUAAAUAGUUCAGAAAUUAUUUGAGAUGAUGGAUGCCCACAUCUCAUAUGCCAUAUGUUAUAUGGUAUUGUUAAAACAGAAGGAUGUGCAUUAUGUUUAACUAUUGAUACAUUACAUUUAAGACUAUCAUCCUGUUUAAACACACAAACCAUUUGAUCCAAUACCAUUUAAAAUCUGUUUUCCAGAUUUAUUGUUAUUUUCUGAAAACUUAUCACCCUUUAAUAUAACUUUACAAUCUAAAUCAUUAGACAUUGCUUGUAAAGAAAUCGAAUUCAUUUUUAAUUUUGGAACACAUAAAGCAUUUUUGAGUAUUAAAUCGCCAAAUUUAGAUUUAAUUUUCAAAUUUUCAAUAUGUGAUAUGUGUAAGCCUAAAUCAUUACCAAUUAUUAUAAAGGAUUUACCUGAGUACUCCUGAGUCUCUGAUAAAUUAUCGAGAUCAGGAGUCAUGUGAGCAGAUGCUCCGGAGUCUAAAAUCCAAUUCCCUUCUGAAGAAUCGUCAGUAACAACAACAGUUAGGGCUUUAAGAAUUUUUCUGCAGGUCUUAGCAGAAUGACCUGGUGUUUCACAGAUCUGACAAAUAAUAGAAGAAUUAGGAUUCUUAGAUCUCCUUCAUCGAUUCUUUGAUGAAUUAUUUCUUUUCUGAUUAGGGUUGGAAUUUUCUUUCUUGUUUUUAUACUCAGUUUUCUUGUAAUCAUUUGGGUCACCCCUGUAGUCAUUUCUGAAAUCACAUCCAGAACGAAAUUUUGCAGCAAAGGCAGCACCAGAAGCAUCAUCAGAUUUUGGGUUAAUUUGAAAAUGACGCUUUAGAAAUGCAUCUUCUCUAAUAAUCAGAUGAAUGAACUGUUCAAACAAAAGAUUCGGUUGUGAGUGGAUAGAUGACAUGAACGGGCGAUACUCAGCAGCCAAACCAUCACAAAUGAAAUCAAUCUUAUCUCUAUCUGCGAGAUGAUCACCCGCAGCAGUCAAACUGUCAAUAAGAGCAUGAACUUUAAUAACAUACUCCGCCAUGCUCUCGGAGUCAGAUUUCCUCAUCAUUCUAAGCUCAUCCCUUAAGCUUUGUGAGUGGCAAAUUUUUCUUGGCGAUAAGUGAAGAUCAAGGUUCUCCCAGCAGGCGCGUGCACUGUCAUGAUUUAACACAAGAGAGAACAUUGACGAGCCAACAGCAGCUUGAAUCCAUCCAAGAAUGAUGAAAUUCUUCUUUCUCCAGAUAUAAUAUAACGGAUUGUCACUUCCAUCAGGAUUCUUUUCUUCUGGUGUAACGGUCUUUGGAUCUAUAAUAUCAGACACAUCAUGAAUCUUAAAAAGAUUCUCCAUCUGAGAUUUCCAAAAGAGAUAUGUUCCACCACUCUCUAAAGGAACCCUGAUCCAGUGUGAUACAUUGCACUUAUGAAGUUCGUCAAAAUGGUUUGACAAUGAAGAGGAACCUUUACUAUAAACCAUUAUUAAGAAGCUAAUAUACAGAUCCGGAAGCCAGCGAUCGUUGAGAGAAGAAGAAAAAAUUGAAAUCACGGAAGCACAAAUCGGAAAAUGCUAAAAAAUCACAACUGCCAGGUCGUGUUCUGACAGAAAUCACAGAAAUAUCAAUUCUGCAAUUUCUUGACAGAUCGUGCAACUGAACUUGCCACAGAUCGUGCAAUUUCUCAAGGAGAUUGUCCCAAAUCGGCAACUGAAAUCGCCAAAACUGAUCAUACAACGAUUUCCACACUGACGGACAUGGACAGAUUGAAAUCGCCUGCUCAAAUCUUCUGCCCCAAAAUAAAAUCGCGGAAAGAUGAUCUGCUUAAAUCACACACAGAUCGCCGUGCUGAAAAAUUUCUGUGAAGAAGAAAUCGCCGCGAGUGGGAGAAGAAGAAGAGGAAGAUUCCUGUUAUCACCGUGCUGAAGAGAUCGGAUGGUCAAGAGGAGCUACAACUGAUACCAUGUUAAAUACUUCAACUCUUGGAUAUUCAGAUCAACGAUCAAGCAAACAAAGAACAAGAAAUGUAUUUCAUAGAAUGAAUUCAAAUCAAUAAUCCACAACGAUAUCUAUCUAGUAUUUAUAUCAUGACUUAACUAAUUAACCACUAAUACUAAUUAACUAGAGAGAAUAUCUAACUAUGGUUAACAAAGAUAAAGAGUGUAAUUAAUCUUGCUAACAGAGAGAACAUCUGAAAUAUUCAAAUGAUUUCCUAAAGUGGAACUUAAUGACAGAAAAGUUAAGACAUCUGAAAUCUACAUUCACAGGAACUCAAUGAAAUGCAGGAAGUAGAAUUAAAUGAAGAAUCACUGUAAAUGCUAUGAAAAUGAGAAUAUCAAUUGAAAAUAAGAAAUCAGAAUGAAAUAUGAAAAUUACUGGUUUGAUUAAAAAAUAGAAAAUAACCAAUUAAAAUAAUAAUCUGAGAAUGAAAGAAGAAAAUUACUGGUUCGAUUAGAAAAUAUUGAUUCUUGUUGUGAUUGUGUUCUCUGAUUGCGUUUUCGAUUCUUAUUUUGAUUACGUUUUCAGAUUUUUUUUGAACUCGAUUGGUUUUGAUCAGAAAUCGUUUUGAAAUCGGUUUGAAAUCGAUUGAUUGUUUAGGUUUUGAUCGCGAUCUGAUUUACUCGAUUGCGUUCAGAACUUGUUCGCGAUCAGUUUUUUUUUUGAACUUGUUCGUGAUCUACAUGGCGAUCUGAUCGAUUCGAUCAGGCACUCGUCUAUUCCCUAUUCGUGGAAAUCCCCGACAGAAGAAAGAGGUGUUGGCGAUCUGGAUAUUAUCGUAUUCCAUGGAUCCGCUUGUGAUCUGUUUGCGAUUUAAUUUCUGGGAAAUCGCGAUUUAAUUUCUCGUCGCUUGUGAUCUUGCGAUUCUUAUCUGAUUACUGAUUGCGAUCUCUCCUGAUUGAGAUCUACUAAUUUGGUGAUUAGUGAUUGCAAUUUUGAGGUGUGAUAUUUACUGAUUAGUGAUUGCGAAUUAUUCACAUUUGCAAUAUCACAUUACUGAAUAGUCAAUUUAAUUAGUGAUUACUGUUAUGUUCAGAUUUUUUUUUUAAUUCAGAAAAUGUAAUAUCACAUUUGCUUUGCAGGUUUAUGCUAAUAUUGAAGAAAUAUUCUUUGUCUGCAUAUACUAUAUUCUCCUCUGUUUUUUUUUAUUACUGAUUGAAUUUUUUCUCUCCUCUGUUUUGAUUACUGAUAUAAUCAAAUUGUGCAGAUGAAUGCUGAUUACUGAUAUAAUAAAUUUGGUAAUCAAAUUUAUUAUUCAUGAAUGCUAGCUACCAUGAAGAAAAAUCUAGAAAAUGUUCAAGCUAGGAUGAAGCAUCAAGUUGACAAGAGUAGAUCUGAUGUUGUGUAUGAAGAUGAAACAUGGGUACUGGUUAAAUUACAACACUACAGACCGACCACAGUAGCUAACAUAACUCAUAAUAAGCUAUGCCAAAAAUACUUCGGCCCCUAUGAAAUAAAGAGGAAAAUCAACAGAGCUGCUUAUAAAAUCAGAUUACCUCAAGGCAGAAAAAUACAUGAUACAUUUCAUGUUUUCAGAUUGAAGAAAUCUUAUGAAUCAGAUUACCUAAAGGCAGAAAAAUACACGAUACAUUUCAUGUUUUCAGAUUGAAGAAAUUUUAUGGCCCGCCCAAUUCCUGAAAACCAGCCUACAAAUGAUAUCAUGGUUUAAGUUAGCAAUAAACCAAUUAUCUAUCCUAUAGCAGUACUGGAUACAAGAAUGAGUGGACAGGAUAACAAAAGAAAGGUUUCCCCAGAAUUGUUCAAAAGAUGCAAAAAAAUUAAAGCACACUGCGUUUUUAUUACAUCUUAGCUAAACUACACUGCAGAUUUCAGACACUACAACAGUUAUAUAUAGUUAGAGUCAAUCUAGAGUUAAUAGUACAUUAGCUGUUAUAAUAAGUAAUAUAGUUAAUUAGUUAGUUUAGAUUUUUUAGUUACAGGCAAUAGACCUUUGUUAUAAAUAAUGUAUGACUAGUUGUUUAGAAGUAAUUUUCAUUCUUGAUUCUACUACCCAUGAAGAUGUUGAUGAUUGAAUACUACCCAUGAAGAGUGGAUCAAGAUGUUGAUGAUUGAAUAGUAUCCCAUGAAGUUUGAAAUAUCACAAAACAUCACCAUCUCCUCCAAACAAUCAGCCAGAAGACAACUUAUCAUUAUAGCCAUUAGUUUGAAUAUGAAUAGAUCGAAAUAAUGUGUUUUUAUGACUAAUUGAGACCAUUUUUUGGAUACUACUAGGGCGUCAAAUAAAGCCCGGCUCGGGCUCGCGAGCCCUAGCCUCUAGCUCGUUAAGCUCGAUGGGCUCGGUAAGGAUUAUAAAAAAUUAAAAAAAUAUUAAACUUAGAGAGAAUAGAUGUGUAGUAUAGUUGGUAAAAGGUUUGUUUAAUAUUUGAAAAGUCAUAGGUUCGAUCUUUCAUGUCUACAAAUAAUUAUUUUUUUAAUUCGAGUCCAGAAAGUAUAAAAAACUAAAAAAAUAUUAAAUUUAGAGAGAAUGGAGGUGUAGCGCAGAUAAUAAAUCAUUUGUUAAGCAUGUGAGAGGUCACGGGUUCGAUCCUCCAUGUGAGAGCUCGCGGGCUUGAGCCUGAGUCCGAGCUUGGAAAAUAUCUGACGAGCCGAGCCUGAGCCCGAGCUUGGAAAAUAUCUGAUGAGCCGAGCUUGAGCCCGAGCUUGGAAAAUAUCUGCCGAGCCGAGCCUGAGCCCGAGUCCAUAUGAUAUCUCAACGAGCCCAAGUCCGGUUCUAUAAGCAAAAGCUCGGCUCAGCUCGUUUGACACCCUAGAUACUACCAUCGAUAUCCAAAUGUAAGUGUUCCAAUUUUUUGAAAUAUAUUUGACAAAAUAGACGAAUCAAACCAUUUUCAAACUUGAUGGAUAAUGUAUAUACAGAUUUUCCAUCAUUUGAUAAUGCGACUCAUUUUCGUAUUUUAUCUUUUUUUCUCAUAACCUAUGGUAUUCGUGACGACCCAUAUCCAGGCAACGUUGCUUGGAUAAUAGUGAAAUAAUGAAUAAUGCAAAAUAUUUAGUUUACUCGAAUAAAUCCAGGCUAACUAAUUUGUAAUAACACACAAGUACCAUAAAUAUUAACCACUAAAUUAAAAGAAAACUAAAUAAACUACUUUUUUUUUAUAAUUUUUUCCAUUGACCAUAAUUCCAGGCAACGUGGGUAACUUUCCACUAACAGAGUAACCACUCACUAAUAAGAUCGUACAAUAAUCAUCCAUUGCCGCCCGUGAUCGUCGUCGAGGCCAUUUGUGGGGAAGCUCCUCCCUAGCACACACCUCUCCCUAUCCUUGGCUUUUGCGACUUUUUGGUUAUUCACAGACACAGGUUCGUUGUUCGACUCUCCGCCAACAAUUGUUUGAGUCGGCCGAGGAAAGGCUUGAGAAUCUUCAUUUUGCCACACACUAUGAGAAUCUUCAUUUUAAAGAAAGUCCAGCUAGCUGAUCUACGGGAGUAUUUUGUUGUUGCUGCUGGACAACGUUUCUGAGCACUUCCAUUGCUUCACCAACCUUUGCUUUUAGUGCCUCGGGUGAUUCCAGCAAGUGCAGAACUUCAGUUUGGUCCAUCUCAAGAAGCAUUCCAGUAACCUUAGCAACCAUAUCAUGCUCAAUUUGAUCAACAAGUGGGUACAAACUUUCUCUAAGCAUCUACAAAACAAAACAAAAAAUUAUAUUGAAAACUAGAACAAAAAACUUCAAUAAAUAUAUAAAAGACUUGUAAUGUAUAAUAUCCUCUGCAGAUCAGUAGGAGCGUUAGCAAGGGAUGAAUCCAGUGCUGAGAUAGGUAUAGGCUGUGAUAUAGCGGCAUCUCUUCCAGGAAAACCACCCAUGUCAAAUGGAGAAGAAAGCAUGCCACAACUUGUACCAAGAAUCGGCAUAUCAGGUAUGUUUCUUCCAGGUGGGAAACGAUACAUCCUUCCAUCACCCCUUGGAAACAUCUGCAAAACAGAAGACAGAAAGAAUGAAAUCAAGAAUGAACUCUCAUAGAAAACAAGAUAAAGAGUAAAAAAAAUAUAAGCCAGAAAACCUGUUGCUGAACCAUCGGCAUUGGUUGCAUGGGUCUUCCUGGUUCAGUACGCCUACCACCUCCGGGCCUUGGCCAAAAUAGAGCACCUCCAAGCCUCAUACCAAGAAUAAGUGGUUGUUGAUAACCAAAACCAGGCUAAAAAAAUAUCAGCACAUUAGACUCAGAAAAUCUUACAGCAUUGGAAGCCUCUUCAACGGUUGAGAAAGCAACAAAACCAGAGCCUCUACUAACUCCAUUACUAUCGACAAUGAUUCUUAUCGACGGUCUUCUUAAUAUUCUGCUCAUAUUUAGCCUUCAGUUCUUGCUCCCUUUCAGAUUUCUUUAGAGCCUUAUCAACAUACCACUCCUUGUCAACAAAUUUUUUCCCAUUAAGAGAAUCAACAUCAUUUGCAGCAUCUUUAGAAUUAUCGAAAUUGACAAAACCAAAACAUUUCGACUUUCCAUCACCUUCUCUCAUCACAACAGCACUUGUGAUUUGUCCAAAUUCACUAAAAACUUUUUUCAGGUCAUCUUGAGUCAUUGUUCGAGAAAAAUUCUUAACAAAAACAUUGUUAAAUUUCACAUUGUAUGGGGGGGGGUUAUUAUCUCUAUCCUGCUUGCGCAAAAAUGGACCUACAAACACUUUCUUACCAUUAAGUAGUAUUCCAUUUAGCUUUUCUAUAGCAAAUUGUGCAGAAUCUUUUCUUCGAAUUGGGCUUAAUAACUACUGAUAAAUAUAAUCACUACCUGUUAGAGUAACUACUUUGUUAGUAACUACUUUCCUAUAAUAUCUAAAUAAACGGAAGUAGUUAUAGAAUAUUACUAGAGUAAUAAAUUGUAUAAAUAGAUAUGACUAUCAAACAUAAAGGUGAUCGAGUUUGGUUUUCUCAUUUGAUACAUUUCAAUUGACUAUUACGGGAUUGACGAUGUUAAAACAUGCGAGAAUGUCGACAGAAUAUUGGGAUUACGUGUUUAUGACAGCAGUACAUUUAUAUAACAGAAAUCCAACCGUAAUUCUUGAUUACAAGUCACCGUAUGAAGCAUUGUUCAAACAACUCCAGAAUACAACAGAUUGCAUGUUUUUGGAGCAAAGUGCUUCCCAAAUCUUCGUCCGUAUAGAAACAACAAACUCCAAGACAAAUCUGAACCAUGUUUAUUUAUGUGAUAUCCGGUAAAUUCAAAUGGAUAUAUUUGUAUGAGUGCAGGUGACGGAAGAAUUAUCAUAUCACGCGAUGUAAUAUUCAUUGAUGAUAAUUUCUUAUUAAGGAAAUCAGAUGACAAAUGCAACGAUAAGGGAAAUGAACCUGAUGAGGAGAGCUGUUUAAUUGAAGAAUAUGUACCCAAAGAUGGUCAAAAUUUCCAAAGCACGGGCUGCUGCAAAAUAAAAUUGUAAAACAAUUUAAAGAUACUAGAAUAACAAUAACAUUAGUAAAACAUUUUAUAAACAAUGAAAAAAACAAACAAGAAUAAAAAAUAUCUUGGAAUAUAUCUAAAUAUAAAAAAACAAUCAACAAGAAUCGAUUUGAAUGAAAUUAUUACCACACAUAAUUUAUUUGUUAUGAGAACAGAAAAAGGUAAAAAAAAACGAUAAAAUAGUAACAAUUUAAAAAGCAAGUCUGAUUGAAAUAUAUAUGAUAGCAAAAAAUAUAGGUUAUUUUUAAUAAAACGAGUGAGUAUAUGCAAUAAAUAGAUGAUGAAAAAGAAGAGAAUACCCUCCGGAGGAUGGUUGUAAUUGACAUAUAUGCAUACCCAAGAGACCUUCUGUAAGGCUCUACAGACCCUUACAGAAACGACCUAUCUGAGCAGACUGAAUAGGUCAAAAACUUACAAAUCAGUUACUGUGGGAUCUAAAUCUCCGACAUAUAGAGAUGUUAGACUGUGAAAGGGAGCACCAGCAGUAGUUUCAAAGUAUCAAACAGCAAAAUAACCUGGUUUGUAGACUUCAGAAGAGCUUGUAUGGGUUGAAGCAAGCACCUCGAAGUGGUACAAGAAAUUUGAUAGCUAUCUCAGUGUCAUAGGCUUCAAGAGGUGUGACACGGAUUCCUGUUGCUACAGAAAGCAAUUGACCGAUUUCUAUAUUAUUCUUGUCGUUUAUGUUGAUAUGCUCAUUACUAGUGCAAACAUGAAAGAGAUAAAUCAUCUGAAGAAACAACUUUCAAAGGAAUUUGAGAUGAAAGAUCUGGGAGCAGCGAUUUUGGACAUGAGGAUCAUCCGGGAUGAGUCCUCAGGAAUUCUGAAACUGGGUCAACAAAGGUACAUUGAAAAGGUUCUUGAGAAGUUCAGCUUUGCAAACGAAUCGAAUUCGAAUAUCCGGAUAUUAAACGAAUUCGAAUUCGAAUAUGAUGGUAUUCGGUUCGUUUACAUGCCUAGUGUUAUAAAAGAUGACUGAGUUUUGCACUUUCUCCUUCUCCUGAUUUCUUCAAAAAUAAUCAGGUCCCUAAUAUCAUUCCACUUAAGCUUUCCAUGACCAAUAGAGCUGCUCACACUUGUAGCAACUUGUUCCCGACUUUCUGGUAGAGAUGAUAACAAAAUAAGUGCUCUAAGUUCAUCGUCAAUGUUGAUAUCCACAGAGGACAACUGUGUCAACAACACAUUUACUUGAUUCACAUGAUCAACAACAUUUGCUUCUUCACUCAUCUUGAGAUUGAACAAAUUACGCAUCAGAAAAACUGUUUGUUGCUGUAGGCUUUUGAUACAUAUUCGUCAAGGUUUCCAACACCUCUAUUGUCGUGGUGCACUUGGAGAUGUUGAAGGCAACGUUCUUAGCCAAGGUGGGUCUAAUAAGGCUAAUAGCUUUUCUGUCGAGAAGCUUCCAAUCUUCAUCACUCAUAUCUGCCGGUCUUGUGCCCAACAUCGGAGCAUGAAGGUUCUUUGCAUAAAGGUAGUCCUCUAUUUGCAUUUUCCAAUAUGCAAAAUCGCUCCCUUCAAACCUAUCGACCCUAUGCUUUAUUUCAUCUACUAUUUCAAACACAACUACUGCUCUGGAAAGUCUGGAUACACGUCGAUAGGGGGUUUACAAACCCUAACCAGGAAAGCCACGAUCUGAAAAACCAAAAAAAACAAAAAACCACCGACCAAAAAAAAGAAACUGACAGACCAAGAGGAUUCCUGGUCUGAAAAAAAGAAACUAAAUACACCGACCAGGAAGAAGAACUAUGAUCUGAAAGCCAUAGACACGUUGACCAGAUGACCAGGAAUAUCCGCCGACUGGAAGACAGCGGAACGCCGGUCUGGAAAACCUUCCCUUUGAAAAAAAAAUCGAUAUGGAAAUACCCGCCGGCUGGAAGACAGAGGAACGUAGGUCUGGAAACCCUCCCUCAAAAAAAACCUCGAUCUGGAAAUCAGGAAACACGUCAACUUUUGCUCUUCUCUCUUCGAUUUUAAUCCAACCUCGCUCUGAUACCAAUUGAUAGGAUCGAUACCUAAAUCGAACUGAGAAAACCGAGCGAAAACAAACACAAUACACAGAAUUUACGUUGUUCGGCAAUGUGCCUACGUCCACGGGGGUGUCUCCAUUCUUCUUCUUUUUCUCUCAAAAAGAGUACAAGUAAUUAUAAGAUACUUAUAUGGGUGAUUAGGGUUGUCGUUUUGUGUUUGUAACUCCUAAUCUCUAUUACAAGGCUUAAAGCCCAUUUAACAGAAUUAAUCAUAUUUUAAUUCUAAUGCUCAUAAAAGACCUACAUUAAUUCUAAUUAUAAUUAAUGCCCUUCUAAAAAACGUCUCAACACUCUAACUAAUGGAGCAAUUAAUCAAUUGAAAUGAAACAAUACCUCAAGAUAUCGUGGAUGAUAAAAAAUCUGAAAUUCCAACACUUCAGUUUCAGCAAGAAAAGAUCUAUUGGAAUCCACCAAUAGCUCCACUAGAAUCCAUUAGUAGAAUAGGAAAAAUCAGAUAGGAGUCCACCUGAUCCGAUGAAGAAUAAGCAAGAAUCUCAAGAGUUUUUUUGAGAAAAACGUAGGAGAGAGAAAAGUAGAGUAAUUUCACCUUUGGAAAAUAUAUGCUACGGGUUUGAGUCCACUCCUAUUUAUACUCCCAAUGUAUAAGAGUGGAAAUUCCACAUUGGGAGUUGGACAGUCCAAUUAAAGAGACUGAGCCAUGGCUCGAGUUAACUCGAGCCAAUGACCUUGUAGAUCAUUGUAAUGGGCUACAUCACUAACAAAUUCAACAUUUCCAACACCUUCAAUAUCUCAGAUCUACAAACCUACUAUCCACUGGAUGAAGGACCGGUUUACGGACAUUCGAGGUCGACUGUCGCCGCAGUGGAGGCGCUUGAUGAAGGAGCUGUAGGGAAGUCAACGCAGCCCACGGCGUAACAGCAAAUGGGUAAGUUAGGAACGACUAACUGACCGAACGGCGACGUCAUUAAUUAUAAAAAUUGGAGGCUGCAAGGACUUCGGGGAAGAUGUUUUGCUUACCUCAAGGUACUACCUCUUCACUGCUCUCUCAGUUUCGUUCCUUCGUCUUCUCUAAUUUCUAUGGUGGAAUCCAGAUUCUAUCAACCGGUGGAUUCCGGCUCGGCGACGUGAUCUGUUCGGCGUCUCUCUAUCGCAACUCUGUCAAGUUGCCCGUGUGUAAAUCUGCAAUUACAUAUUCUAUGUUAAAUGAGUCUUGGGCCAUUAUGAUCCAUUACAAUUAAAUAGGUUUAAUUCUAUGUUAAAUGAGUCUUGGGCCUUGUAAUGAUGAUUAGGAGUUGCAAACAUAAAUCGGCAACACUAAUCAUCAUUAUAAAUAUCUUUUAAUGCUUCUAUUCUGUUGUGAGGGAGAAAGAAGAAUAGCUGAGGCACCCCGUGGACUUAAGCACAUUGUUGAACCACGUAAAUCUGUGUUUUCUUUUUCUCAAUUCGAUUUUAGGGUUCUUCUUAUCAUACUUCCAUUCAUCUGGACAAGUUGAAUUCCAGAGAGAAGUCCCAGCGAAACAGAGCCAGAGCAACUGAAGAGUUUGAGUUGAUUUUCGCGUGCAGCUUUCAACUUGACGCUUGUUUAAAGCGUCUUCGAGCAUUGAUCGGAUUCCACCCUCAUCAGUUAUGAUGGGAUAAAAAAUAUCAUUAUUUACUACGAAAAGAUGAUAAAUACCAUUCAGAUCCAAUAUACAAAAAAUGGACAGGGCCAUGGUUCCGGAUGCACGCGCAUAUGCGCAGAUGCGACCUCCCUUAGCCGGAUCCGGUCAUGAAUUAAAAAAAAACUGGCCAAAAAAAAAAAAUUUAAGUCCGAAAAAAUAUUUUAAGGUCAAAAAUUUAUUUUUAUGCCAAAAAUUUAUACAUUGGUCCAUGAAAAGAGCUAUAUUAUUUUUAAUAUAAGCUCCUCCCACUCUUAAGACUUCAUAUUUGUUUUAGACAAAAUGAAUCUUUAUUUAUAAACCAACCUUCUUUGUGUUUUUUGAAUUCUAUCGAUGUUAGACUAAAAAAGUGUAGUUAAAUAAAUUAUAAAGUAUUCUUUGUACUUUUUGAAUUCUAUCAAUGUGGUAUAAAUAAAGUGUACAUGUAUUAAAUAAAUUAUAGUGUUAUAUGCAUUUUUUAUAUCCUAUCAAUAUAGGACUAAAUAAAAUAUACAUGUGUUAAAUAAAUUAUAGUGUUACAAUGAAUUAUAGGGUGUUAUAAUAAUUAAUAAAUAUAUGUAUUAUAAUAAUUUUUCUAUCCUGAAAGUCUCCCCAAAGCAGAGGGAGGCUUAGGGGUCAGAAACCUAGGAAUCAUAGUACCUGCCAUAAAUAUCAAAAGAAUUACAAACUUCUGGACAAAAUCAGACUCAAUCUUUAACACAUGGAUCCAAGAGAGAUACAUAAAAGGACGAGCCCUCACAAACAUCCUUGUCAGGACCAUCAUUGACUCCCAUUUUUGGAAAUAUGUAAUGGCAGACAACCCCAAUGCUAUUGCACUAGUUGAAUGUAGGGCCAAUUAUACAACCCUUUGGAAAAAUGGAAACCCAAUCAGAAAACUUGCAGCAAUAUGUGAGGAGAUCAGGGAUAAAAUCCAUAAGGAUAGCCUAGCUGAAGGAAUAUGGACUCAUAAACCCACAAAGUUUUCCAUUUUCUAUGGAGGAUAAAGUGGGCACACCUAAACACCUUUAUCAAACUAAAUGGAUGGGGUAUGCCAAUCCAGCCCACAUGUUUAUUAUGCAAUAUGGAGAAUGAAUCCAGAGCCCACCUAUUUUUCAAUUUUUCCUACUCUAGAGCCAUCCUGCUUCCCCUGGUUAAAAACUUAAAUAACAUUUUCUGGAAGAUACUAAAAAUACCCACUCCCACCACCACUCACCCAGAUAUUAGAAUAGGGGACCUAACCGAGGAAUGUCAAAGGCUGCCACAUCACUCUCCAAUUUGGGGAAGCACCCAUGAAGGAAGAUAGUUCAGAUGAUGAGUAUGAUGAUGAAGCAUCUCCAGAUGAAGGAGAGAGAUUUUCAUGCAUAAUCCAGAGAAUAUGCCACACACCUCAACAAGAGCUGCAAAGUCAGAGGAAUAAUUUAUUCAGGACUAGAGGCACAAUUAAAGGAAGGGUCUGUGAUAUUAUAAUAGAUAACGGAUCAACUGGUAAUCUGAUUUCGUGGAAUGCAGUGAAAAAAUUAGGUUUAGAGGUGGAGGAACACAAAAACCCUUACAGUGUAUGGUGGAUUCACAGUGGGAAUUCAGUAGCUGUGGAUAAAAGUUACAGUAUUUGCAUUUUCCGUACUUUAAUAGAGAUCAAAACACAUUCUAUGAUUGAGAUCUGCUGAGUUACUAAUAUUGCAUUUUGAUUUAUUGUGUCAUUUGAAUGAAAGCUGACAGUAUAACAAAAGUAAAAUACAUGUGACCAUGGGGAUAUCAACGGGAAGUAAUGAUGUUUAAUCAUAAUGGCUACAACUGUAUUAAAAAAAUCGUUAUCUAAUAUGGAACAAUGAUAGAUUCAGUUGGUGUUCAAUAUACAAAAAAUGAACAGCUUGUGUGGACUGAUAAAAUUGAUAAAAAAAGCAGCAAUAACAACCAUAAAGAGGCCAGAUCUCAUCAAUAUUGUCUUUUAUUAUAUCACUGGGCACUAAAAGUAUGAAUUAUUGUUUCAUAAAUCAAUUUAAUAGGGAUGAAAAUAUUUAUGUAUGCUAUAGAAGUUAGGAGUUCGAUAUAUAGAAGUAUAGAAUUUAUGUAUUGACAUGAUCACAUGAAUCCAUGGCUAUAUAUGCCAGGGUCAGCCAUUAAAGAAAGCAACAAUGUUUUACAUAUUCUGUUAUGCUUUUUAGCCUUACUACCUGUAUUUAAUUUCUCUAUAAUUCUACUCGAGCUAUGCCCACCCAUUUUAUUUUCAGCAAUGAAAUUUUCAAUUCAUUGGAAAAAUAUGAUCACAUGAAGAUACCAAUUAUUUAUCAUUAACAAAAUCAUUUUUUCUUUCAAACAUUUUCUCAUACAGUUAAAACUUUUCAAUAAAAUAAGGACCAAACCUAGCUUACAUGAUAGAUUGGGAGAUGAGCAAUUGAGCAUGGUCACAAACUCACCACCUUGAUCCUAUUGAUUGAAGCCGCAAAAUAUAGAAUUCCCAUUAAAUUAUAUCAUUGACCUUAAUCCGAUUCAGAUUGGGUUUUGGUUAUCAAAAUAGAUUGUAACAUCCUUAGUAUUAGUGCAAAGAAACGAUUAAAGUUAAUUACAUAUAUUUGUUAGUUGUUGACUUUAUAGAUAUGCUCUAAUCUCUAUCAAAAAAUUAAAGGGUAUAGAGGUGUAAUAACAUUAUGUGUGUGUGUUUACACUGGCAAUAACAACCUCAUUUGUUAUUCUAAUUUCUAGAUCUAGCCCACCAUCAAUCUACCUUCACUCAUCAACACUUAGAGAUAUGCUUGCUUGGCGAGUUCUUUCGGAGGUCUGAGGAUGAAUUGCUUGGAUCUUCCGUUUCUCUCACACCAGAUGUUUCAAGCUAGUGAGCCAAGAAUUGCUCAUUACAACUCCAACAGCUAGAGUGUUUGCUGAACUUUUCUAUCCCCUAUUCCUCUCAAUGAUGUCCUCAUUACUGUCCUGUGGGGUAGGAUGUUAAGUUUUAUCCAAAUAGUUGAAUAUAGAUGGUUUUGGAUGAGGUUGAUAUAGGAUCUUCCGAACAUAAGACACAUGAUAAUCCUCCUACUCGAACCUUAAAUAACGGUGAUUCCUUAUCCGAAAAAAUCAUCUCGAAAUAUCUGAAACCAUCUCGGGUUAUGUCUUGUGAUAAAAACGUACUAUGUUUGAUAUGUCAGGUAUUUUGAUUUCUUCAUUAACCUCAAAUGAAUAUCUACAUGAGUGUUUAUAUCAAUUGAAAAACAAGUAAUGACUAACAAAACUAACUAUCUAUUUAGUUAACUAACUAAUAUAAGCAGUGAAUCAAUCUUAUUUUCUCUGAACCAAUGAAUGAAUCACUAAUCUUAAUUGACAUUAUCUUCAGGAAUAUUUUGAGAUGAUGAGAAGGUCGGAAGAUUGUAUUGUGACCAUAAGUUCCACUUCAGUUGCAUAAAGAGUUGGUUGAUUAUAUAGAAUAAAUGUGUCCCAACUGUAGAGCGAGUGCGAUCGGCCUUUUAAAUUCACUGUGAGGUUUAUGUUAAAAGAUAGAGUAGUGAAACAUGGUUUUUUCGAAUGUACUUGACUUUAUUGACCAAUCGAUGACGAUCUUAGAUGAUCGUACGAAAAUUGUAUUCAAUCGAUCAGUAUUUUGCAUGAAUGUAAAUGAUGAUUAUAAUGUUCAUUUAUAGUGAUGAGUAAGUUACACAACAACAACUAUUUAGUUAGUUAUGUUACUUAUGUAAAUGGAUUAGCUUUGCCAAAUCCGUAACACCCUCUCUCAAGUGGAGCGGGUGUUCUGUGGAACUCUGAUACCAUAUUGACUAAUCGAUGAUGAUCGGAGAUAAUCGUAGAUUGUAUUCAAUCAAUCUGUAUUUUGCAUGAAUGUAAAUGAUGAUUAGAAUGUUUACUUAUAGUGAUGAGUGAUGAGUUAGUUACACUAUAAUAACUAUUUAGCGAGUUAUGUUACUUAUGUAAACGCAUUAGCUUUGCCUAAUCUGUAACAAACUUAAUUCUUCUCUUUAGAUUAACCUGUGAGUUUAAUUAGGAUUGUAAUAGUAGUGAUUAGUAUAAGCUAAAUUGCAUGUAUUGAUUGUCUAAAGUUUGUAAAUUUUCUAUGAAGUCUUUUACUGAUUGUGAAUUCUGAUAAAUUCUUUUUAGUGGAAGAGAAAUUUAUUUUGAAUCUUUUUUAUAAUUAAACUCGUCUCAUAAAAUGUUGACGUCGAGAUUAAUUAGCAAAAUCUAAUGUAUUGUAUUUAAAUCGCCGUACUGUUCUCAGACCACUGUAAUGUACUGAAGUUCCAUCGAGCCGGCAGACCUGCUUUCACCAUAUCGACGGUCAGGUAAGGUUAAUUACUUAAUUAAUACUCUAUUUCUUUUGUUAUAGUUGGUUUUAGACGAAAUCGAUGCAGAAUCAAUCGGAUUGAUGAUACCCAAUCGCUCUUCUACUCCAACCUCAAUUUUAGACUAGCUUUAAAGUUUUUCCUAAUGACUUAACUUUCAUAAAUACAAUUUUUUUGACCAUGAAACUAUAAAAGUGAAAGGUUGGUUGAUUAAUGCUGUUUUUUUUUUCUUAUAUCAUAGAUCAUAGAUGGUUUUGGAUGAGGUUGAUAUAGGAUCUUCCGAAUAUACGAUACAUGAUAAUCCUCCUACUCGAACUUUAAAUAACGGUGAUUCCUUAUGAUUCCUUAUCAGAAUAAAUCAUCUCGAAAUAUCUGAAACCAUCUCGAGUUAUGUCUUGUGAUAAAAACGUACUAUCUUCGAUAUGUCAGGUAUUUUGAUUUAUUCAUUAACCUCAAACGAAUGUUUACAUGAGUAUUUAUAGCAAAUGAAAAACAAGUAAUGACUAACAAAACUAACGAUCUAUUUAGUUAACUAACUAAUACAAGCAAUGACAGUUAUUUUCUCUGAACCAAUGAAUGAAUCUCUAAUCUUAAUUGACAUUUUUUUCAGGAAUCUUUUGAAGAUGAUGAGAAUGUCGGCAGAUUGGAUUGUGACCAUGAGUUCCACUUCAGUUGCAUAAAGAGUUGGUUGAUUAUACAGAAUAAAUGUCCCAACUGUAGAUCAAGUGCGAUCGGUCUUUUAAAUUCACUGUAAGGUUUAUGUUAAAAGAUAGAGCUGUGAAGCAUGGUUCUUUCGAAUGUAAAUGACUUUAUUGACCAAUCUAUGAUGAUCUGAGAUUAUCAGAGAUGAUCAUACAUAGAUUGCAUUCAAUCAAUCUGUAUUUUGUAUGAAUGUAAAUGAUGAUCACAAUGUUUAUUUAUAGUGAUUAGUGAUGAGUUAGUUACACUACAACAACUAUUUAGUUAGUUAUGUUACUUAUGUAAAUAGAUUAGCUUUGCCUAAUCCGUAACACCCCCCUUCAAGUGGAGCGGGAGUUCUGUGGAACUCUGAUACCAUAUUGACCAAUCGAUGAUGAUCGGAGAUGAUCGUAGAUUUUAUUCAAUCAAUCUGUAUUUUGCAUGAAUGUAAAUGAUGAUUACAAUGUUUAUUUAUAGUGAUGAGUUAAUUACACUACAAUAACUAUUUAGUUAGUUAUCUUACUUAUGUAAAUGGAUUAGUUUUGCCUAAUCCGUAACAGACUUAAUUCUUCUUUUUAGAUUAACUUGUGAUUUAAUCAGGGUUGUAAUAGUAGUGAUUAGUAUAAGCUAAAUUGCAUGUACGGAUUGUCUAAAGUUUGUAAAUUUUCUAUGAAGUCAUUUGCUGAUUGUGAAUUCUUAUAAAAUUCUUUUUAGUGGAAGAGAAAUUUAUUUUUAAUCUUCUUUAUAAUUAAACUCGUCUCAUAAAAUGUUGACGUCAGGAUUAUUUAGCAAAAUCUAAUGUAUUGUAUUUAAAUCGUCGUACUGUUCUCAGACCACUGUAUUGUACUGAGGUUCCAUCGAGCCGACAGACCUCCUUUCACCAUAUCGGUGGUCAUGUAAGGUUAAUUAUUACUUAAUUAAUACUCUAUUUCUUUUGUUAUAGCUGGUUUUAGACGAAAUUGAUGCAUAAUCAAUCGGAUUGAUGGUACCCAAUCACUCUUCUACUCCAACCUCCAUUUUAGACUAGCUUUAAAGUUUUUCCUAAUGACUUAACUUUCAUAAAUACAAUUUUUGUGACCAUGAAACUAUAAAAGUGAAAGGUUGGUUGAUUAAUCCUGUUUUUUUUUCUUAUAUCACAGAUAGUUUUGGAUGAGGAUGAUAUAGGAUCUUCCGAACAUACGAGACAUGAUAAUUCUUCUACUCGAACCUUAAAUAACGGAAAUUCUGUAUCAGAAAAAAUCAUCUCAAAAUAUCUGAAACCAUCUCAAGUUAUGUCUUGUGAUAAAAACGUACUAUGUUCGAUAUGUCAUGUAUUUUGAUUUAUUCAUUAACCUCAAAUGAAUGUUUACAUAAUUAUUUAUAGCAAUUGAAAAACAAGUAAUGACUAACAAAACUAACUAUCUAUUUAGUUAACUACCUAAUACAAGCAAUGACAGUUAUUUUCACUGAACCAAUGAAUGAAUCUCUAAUCUUAAUUGACAUUUUUUUCAGGAAUCUUUUGAAGAUGAUGAGAAUGUCGGCAGAUUGGAUUGUGACCAUGAGUUCCACUUCAGUUGCAUAAAGAGUUGGUUGAUUAUACAGAAUAAAUGUCCCAACUGUAGAUCAAGUGCGAUCGGACUUUUAAAUUCACUGUAAGGUUUAUGUUAAAAGAUAGAGCAGUGAAGCAUGGUUCUUUCGAAUGUACUUGACUUUAUUGACCAAUCUAUGAUGAUCUGAGAUGAUCAGAGAUGAUCGUACAUAGAUUGCAUUCAAUCAAUUUGUAUUUUGUAUGAAUGUAAAUGAUGAUUAUAAUGUUUAUUUAUAGUGAUUAGUGAUGAGUUAGUUACACUACAACAACUAUUUAGUUAGUUAUGUUACUUAUGUAAAUAGAUUAGCUUUGCCUAAUCCGUAACACCCCCCUUCAAGUGGAGCGGGAGUUCUGUGGAGCUCUGAUACCAUAUUGACCAAUCGAUGAUGAUUGGAGAUGAUCGUAGAUUUUAUUCAAUCAAUCUGUAUUUUGCAUGAAUGUAAAUGAUGAUUACAAUGUUUAUUUAUAGUGAUGAGUAAUAAGUUAGUUACACAACCAUAACUAUUUAGUUAGUUAUCUUACUUAUGUUAAUGGAUUAGCUUUGCCUAAUCCGUAACAGCCUUAAGUCUUCUCUUUAGAUUAACCUGUGAUUUAAUCAGGGUUGUAAUAGUAGUGAUUAGUAAAAGCUAAAUUGCAUGUACCGAUUGUCCAAAGUUUGUAAAUUUUCUAUGAAGUCAUUUCCUGAUUGUAAAUUCUCAUAAAAUUCUUUUUAGUGGAAGAGAAAUUUAUUUUUAAUCUUCUUUAUAAUUAAACUCGUCUCAUAAAAUGUUGACGUCAGGAUUAUUUAGCAAAAUCUAAUGUAUUGUAUUUAAAUCGUCGUACUGUUCUCAGGCCACUGUAUUAUACUGAGGUUCCAUCGAGCCGGCAGACCUCCUUUCACCAUAUCGGUGGUCAUGUAAGGUUAAUUAUUACUGAAUUAAUACUCUAUUUCUUUUGUUAUAGCUGGUUUUAGACGAAAUUGAUGCAUAAUCAAUCGGAUUGAUGGUACCCAAUCACUCUUCUACUCCAAUCUUCAUUUUAGACUGGCUUUAAAGUUUUUCCUAAUGACUUAACUUUCAUAAAUACAAUUUUUUUGACCAUGAAACUAUAAAAGUGAAAGGUUGGUUGAUUAAUCCUGUUUUUUUUUCUUAUAUCACAGAUAGUUUUGGAUGAGNNNNNNNNNNNNNNNNNNNNNNNNNNNNNNNNNNNNNNNNNNNNNNNNNNNNNNNNNNNNNNNNNNNNNNNNNNNNNNNNNNNNNNNNNNNNNNNNNNNNGGUGAUUCCUUAUGAUUCCUUAUCAGAAUAAAUCAUCUCGAAAUAUCUGAAACCAUCUCGAGUUAUGUCUUGUGAUAAAAACGUACUAUCUUCGAUAUGUCAGGUAUUUUGAUUUAUUCAUUAACCUCAAACGAAUGUUUACAUGAGUAUUUAUAGCAAUUGAUAAACAAGAAGUGACUAACAAAACUGACUAUCUAUUUAGUUAACUAACUAAUACAAGCAAUGACAGUUAUUUUCUCUGAACCAAUGAAUGAAUCUCUAAUCUUAAUUGACAUUUUUUUCAGGAAUCUUUUGAAGAUGAUGAGAAUGUCGGCAGAUUGGAUUAUGACCAUGAGUUCCACUUCAGCUGCAUAAAAAGUUGGUUGAUUAUACAGAAUAAAUGUCCCAACUGUAGAUCAAGUGCGAUCUGACUUUAAAAAUCACUGUAAGGUUUAUGUUAAAAGAUAGAGCAGUGAAGCAUGGUUCUUUCGAAUGUACUUGACUUUAUUGACCAAUCUAUGAUGAUCUGAGAUGAUCAGAGAUGAUCGUACAUAGAUUGCAUUCAAUCAAUUUGUAUUUUGUAUGAAUGUAAAUGAUGAUUAUAAUGUUUAUUUAUAGUGAUUAGUGAUGAGUUAGUUACACUACAACAACUAUUUAGUUAGUUAUGUUACUUAUGUAAAUAGAUUAGCUUUGCCUAAUCCGUAACACCCCCCUUCAAGUGGAGCGGGAGUUCUGUGGAGCUCUGAUACCAUAUUGACCAAUCGAUGAUGAUUGGAGAUGAUCGUAGAUUUUAUUCAAUCAAUCUGUAUUUUGCAUGAAUGUAAAUGAUGAUUACAAUGUUUAUUUAUAGUGAUGAGUGAUAAGUUAGUUACACAACAAUAACUAUUUAGUUAGUUAUCUUACUUAUGUUAAUGGAUUAGCUUUACCUAAAUUAAACCCGUCUCAUAAAAUGUUGACGUCGGGAUUAUUUAGCAAAAUCUAAUGUAUUGUAUUUAAAUCGUCGUACUGUUCUCAAACCACUGUAUUGUACUGAGGUUCCAUCGAGCCGGCAGAUCUCCUUUCACCAUAUCGGCGGUCAUGUAAGGUUAAUUACUUAAUUAAUACUCUAUUUCUUUUGUUAUAGCUGGUUUUAGACGAAAUCGAUCCAGAAUCAAUCGGAUUGAUGGUACCCAAUCACUCUUCUACUCCAACCUCUAUUUUAGACUGGCUUGUAAGUUUUUCCUAAUGUCUUAACUUUCAUAAAUACAAUUUUUCUGACCAUGAAAAUAUAAGAGUGAAAGGUUGGUUGAUUAAUGUUGUUUUCUUCUUCUUAUAUCACAGAUGGUUUUCGAUGAGGUUGAUAUAGGAUCUUCCGAACAUACCACACAUGAUAAUCCUCCUACUCGAACCAUAAAUAACGGAGAUUCUGAUCCGAAAAAAUCAUCUCGAAAUAUCUGAAACCAUCUCGAGUUAUGUCUUGUGAUAAAAACGUACUAUGUUCGAUAUGUCAGGUAUUUUGAUUUAUUUAUUAACCACAAAUGAAUGUAUACAUGAGUGUUUAUAGCAAUUGAUAAACAAGUAGUGACUAACAAACCUGACUAUCUAUUUAGUUAACUAACUAAUACAAGCAAUGACAGUUAUUUUCUCUGAACCAAUGAAUGAAUCUCUAAUCUUAAUUGACAUUUUUUUCAGGAAUCUUUUGAAGAUGAUGAGAAUGUCGGCAGAUUGGAUUAUGACCAUGAGUUCCACUUCAGCUGCAUAAAAAGUUGGUUGAUUAUACAGAAUAAAUGUCCCAACUGUAGAUCAAGUGCGAUCUGACUUUAAAAAUCACUGUAAGGUUUAUGUUAAAAGAUAGAGCAGUGAAGCAUGGUUCUUUCGAAUGUACUUGACUUUAUUGACCAAUCGACGAUGAUCUGAGAUGAUCAGAGAUGAUCGUACAUAGAUUGCAUUCAAUCAAUUUGUAUUUUGUAUGAAUGUAAAUGAUGAUUACAAUGUUUAUUUAUAUCGAUUAGUGAUGAGUUAGUUACACUACAACAACUAUUUAAUUAGUUAUGUUACUUAUGUAAAUAGAUUAGCUUUGCCUAAUCCGUAACACCCCCCUUCAAGUGGAGCGGGAGUUCUGUGGAGCUCUGAUACCAUAUUGACCAAUCGAUGAUGAUCGGAGAUGAUCGGAGAUUUUAUUCAAUCAAUUUGUAUUUUGCAUGAAUGUAAAUGAUGAUUACAAUGUUUAUUUAUAGUGAUGAGUGAUAAGUUAGUUACACAACAAUAACUAUUUAGUUAGUUAUCUUACUUAUGUUAAUGGAUUAGCUUUACCUAAAUUAAACUCGUCUCAUAAAAUGUUGACGUCGGGAUUAUUUAGCAAAAUCUAAUGUAUUGUAUUUAAAUCGUCGUACUGUUCUCAAACCACUGUAUUGUACUGAGGUUCCAUCGAGCCGGCAGAUCUCCUUUCACCAUAUCGGCGGUCAUGUAAGGUUAAUUACUUAAUUAAUACUCUAUUUCUUUUGUUAUAGCUGGUUUUAGACGAAAUCGAUCCAUAAUCAAUUGGAUUGAUGGUACCAAAUCACUCUUCUACUCCAACCUCCAUUUUAGACUGGCUUAUAAGUUUUUCCUAAUGUCUUAACAUUUAUAUAUACAAUUUUUUUGACCAUGAAAAUAUAAAAGUGAAAGGUUGGUUGAUUAAUGUUAUUUUUUUCUUAUAUCACAGAUGGUUUUGGAUGAGGUUGAUAUAGGAUCUUCCGAACAUACGACACAUGAUAAUCGUCCUACUCGAACCUUAAAUAACGGAGAUUCUGUAUCCGAAAAAAUCAUCUCAAAAUAUCUGAAACCAUCUCGAGUUAUGUCUUGUGAUAAAAACGUACUAUGUUCGAUAUGUCAGGUAUUUUGAUUUAUUCAUUAACCUCAAAUGAAUGUUUACAUGAGUGUUUAUAGCAAUUGAUAAACAAGUAGUGACUAACAAAACUGACUAUCUAUUUAGUUAACUAACUAAUACUGUUAUUUUUUCUGAUUCAAUGAAUGGAUCUCUAAUCUUAAUUGACAUUUUUUUCAGGAAUCUUUUGAAGAUGAUGAGAAUGUCGGCAGAUUGGAUUGUGACCAUGAGUUCCACUUCAGUUGCAUAAAGAGUUGGUUGAUUAUACAGAAUAAAUGUCCCAACUGUAGAUCAAGUGCGAUCGGUCUUUUAAAUUCACUGUAAGGUUUAUGUUAAAAGAUAGAGCAGUGAAACAUGGUUAUUUCGAAUGUAUUUGACUUUAUUGACCAAUAGAGAUGAUCGUACGUAGAUUUUAUUCAAUCAAUCUUUAUUUUGCAUGAAUGUAAAUGAUAAUUACAAUGUUUAUUUAUAGUGAUGAGUUAGUUACACUACAAUAACUAUUUAGUUAGUUAUGUUACUUAUGUUAAUGGAUUAGCUUUGCCUAAUCCGUAACAGCCUUAAUUCUUCUCUUUAGAUUAACCUGUGAUUUAAUCUGGGUUGUAAUAGUAGUGAUUAGUAUAAGCUAAAUUGCAUGUACCGAUUGUCUAAAGUUUGUAAAUUUUUUAUGAAGUCAUUUUCUGAUUGUAAAUUCUCAUAAAAUUCUUUUUAGUGGAAGAGAAAUUUAUUUUUAAUCUUCUUUAUAAUUAAACUCGUCUCAUAAAAUGUUGACGUCAGGAUUAUUUAGCAAAAUCUAAUGUAUUGUAUUUAAAUCGUCGUACUGUUCUCAAACCACUGUAUUAUACUGAGGUUCCAUCGAGCCGGCAGACCUCCUUUCACCAUAUCGGCGGUCAUGUAAGGUUAAUUACUUAAUUAAUACUCUAUUUCUUUUGUUAUAGCUGGUUUUAGACGAAAUCGAUCCAGAAUCAAUCGGAUUGAUGGUACCCAAUUACUCUUCUACUCCAACCUCUAUUUUAGACUGGCUUGUAAGUUUUUCCUAAUGUCUUAACUUUCAUAAAUACAAUUUUUCUGACCAUGAAAAUAUAAGUGUGAAAGGUUGGUUGAUUAAUGCUGUUUUCUUCUUCUUAUAUCACAGAUGGUUUUCGAUGAGGUUGAUAUAGGAUCUUCCGAACAUACGACACAUGAUAAUCCUCCUACUCGAACCAUAAAUAACGGAGAUUCUGAUCCGAAAAAAUCAUCUCGAAAUAUCUGAAACCAUCUCGAGUUAUGUCUUGUGAUAAAAACGUACUAUGUUCGAUAUGUCAGGUAUUUCGAUUUAUUUAUUAACCACAAAUGAAUGUAUACAUGAGUGUUUAUAGCAAUUGAUAAACAAGUAGUGACUAACAAAACUGACUAUCUAUUUAGUUAACUAACAAUGACAGUUAUUUUCUCUGAACCAAUGAAUGAAUCUCUAAUCUUAAUUGACAUUUUUUUCAGGAAUCUUUUGAAGAUGAUGAGAAUGUCGGCAGAUUGGAUUAUGACCAUGAGUUCCACUUCAGCUGCAUAAAAAGUUGGUUGAUUAUACAGAAUAAAUGUUCCAACUGUAGAUCAAGUGUGAUUUGUCUUUUAGAUUCACUGUAAGGUUUAUGUUAAAAGAUAGAGCAAUGAAAUAUGGUUCUUUCGAAUGUACUUGACUUUAUCGACCAAUCGAUGAUGAUCUGAGAUGAUCUGAGAUGAUCAGAGAUGAUCAUACAAUGAUUGCAUUCAAUCAAUUUGUAUUUUGUAUGAAUGUAAAUUAUGAUUACAAUGUUAUUUAUAGUGAUGAGUAAUGAGUUAUUUACACUACGAUAAUUAUUUAGUUAAUUAUGUUACUUAUGUAAAUGGAUUAGCUUUCCCUAAUCCGUAACACCCCACCUCAAGUGGAGCGGGAGUUUUGUGGAGCUCUGAUACCAUAUGGACCAAUCGAUGAUGAUCGAAGAUGAUCGUAGAUUGUAUUCAAUAAUCUGUAUUUUGCAUGAAUGUAAAUGAUGAUUACAAUGUUUAUUUAUAGUGAUGAGUUAGUUACACUACAAUAACUAUUUAGUUAGUUAUGUUACUUAUGUAAAUGGAUUCGCUUUGCCUAAUCCGUAACAGACUUAAUUCUUCUUUUUAGAUUACUCUGUGAUUUAAUCAGGGUUGUAAUAUUAAUGAUUACUAUAAGCUAAAUUGCAUGUACUGAUUGUCUAAAGUUUGUAAAUUUUCUACGAAGUCAUUUGAUGAUUGUGAAUUCUCAUAAAAUUCUUUUUAGUGGAAAAGAAAUUUAUUUUUAAUCUUCUUUAUAAUCAAACUCGUCUCAUAAAAUGUAGACGUCAGGAUUAUUUAGCAAUAUCUAAUGUAUUGUAUUUAAAUCGUCGUACUGUUCUCAUACCACUGUAUUGUACUGAGAUUCCAUCGAGCCGGCAGACCUCCUUUCACCAUAUCGGUGGUCAUGUAAGGUUUAUUAUUAUUUAAUUAAUACUCUAUUUCUUUUGUUAUAGAUGGUUUUAGACGAAAUUGAUGCAUAGUCAAUCGGAUUGAUGGUACCAAAUCACUCUUCUACUCCAACCUCCAUUUUAGACUGGCUUUAAAGUUUUUCCUAAUGACUUAACUUUCAUAAAUACAAUUUUUUUGACCAUGAAACUAUAAAAGUGAAAGGUUGGUUGAUUAAUGCUGUUUUUUUUUCUUAUAUGACAUAUGAUUUUGGAUAAGGUUGAUAUAGGAUCUUCCGAACAUACGACACAUGAUAAUCCUCCUUCUCGAACCUUAAAUAACGGAGAUUCUUUAUCCGAAAAAAUCAUCUCAAAAUAUCUGAAACCAUCUCGAGUUAUGUCUUGUGAUAAAAACGUACUAUGUUCGAUAUGCCAAGUAUUUUGAUUUAUUCAUUAACCUCAAAUGAAUGUUUACAUGAGUUUUUAUAGCAAUUGAAAAACAAGUAAUGACUAACAAAACUAACUAUCUAUUUAGUUAACUAACUAAUACAAGCAAUGCCAGUUAUUUUCUCUAAACCAAUGAAUGAAUUUCUAAUCUUAAUUGACAUUUUUUUCUGGAAUCUUUUGAAGAUGAUGAGAAUGUCGGCAGAUUGGAUUGUGACCAUGAGUUCCACUUCAGUUGCAUAAAGAGUUGGUUGAUUAUACAGAAUAAAUGUCCCAACUGUAGAUCAAGUGCGAUCGGCCUUUUAAAUUCACUGUAAGGUUUAUGUUAAAAGAUAGAGCAGUGAAGCAUGGUUCUUUCGAAUGUACUUGACUUUAUUGACCAAUCGAUGAUGAUCUGAGAUGAUCAGAGAUGAUCGUACAUAGAUUGCAUUCAAUCAAUCUGUAUUUUGUAUGAAUGUAAAUAAUGAUUACAAUGUUUAUUUAUAGUGAUUAAUGAUGAGUUAGUUACACUACAACAACUAUUUAGUUAGUUAUGUUACUUAUUGGUGAUACAGUAUCUCGAACCCGGUCACAACCUACCAGCAACUAGAAGUUCGGAUAGCCUAAGAUGAGUUAAGGUACCUAUUCUAGGGUUGGGGAGGUCCGAAGUUGAACCCUUGGAAAAUCGACUUUCCUGAGGAUCGACUUCCCUGGGAUCGACUUCUGAAUAAAGUCGAUCACCAGGAAAGUCGACCCCCAGAAAGUCGAUCUCUGGAAAGUCGAUCUCGGGCCCCAAUCUGAUCAGUUAGGCAGUUAGGCGGUUACUUCCCAAAUGACCAGAUCACCCCCACGAGAACCCCUAUAAAUAGGAGGCAUCCCCACUCAUUAAAGGCAGGUCAUUUGGAGCGAAAGGAUUCCUAGCGAAGCAGAGCUCUGCGCACUUGAGUUCCGGUCCGGUUUCCCGCUUGGCGCUUGCUUGCGCGUCUUGGAGUGUUGGUCGGGUUUCACCCCUAUCACUUAUGUAAAUGGAUUUGAUUUGCCUAAUUCGUAACACCCCCCCUCAAGUGGAGCGGAAGUGAUACCAUAUUGACCAAUCGAUGAUGAUCGGAGAUGAUCGUAGAUUGUAUUCUAUCAAUCCCGACUUAACCACCAGGAGUAAGUUAAGCCGGGCAGGUAAGUGCUUAAUUUUAUCCAAUAAGUAAAUUAUUUAGCCCUACUUAAUCUCAAAAAUAAUUAAUUACAGUAAAUAGAACAAAUAAAAUUUGAGCACGUGGGUCUAUGGGUUUAAACAAAACAAAAAGGAGAUUAUUGCACGUGGGUCUGUGGGUAUUUAGGAAAUUGCAUUGAAACACGCACGUGGGCUAGAACUUAAGUAGGCUGGAAUUUUAAAAUUAAUCCUAGGUAAUAUAAAAUACAAUGCAACGUGGGCUUAAAUAUUUUAAUAUGAUGAUAAUUUGCAUGAAAAAUUCCAAGAUAUUUUUGUUUUUUGGAAAGGGUACUUUAAUAUAAAAGAAAUAGUAUUUUAACAUUUUUAAGACUAAUUAAUCUAAAUCUAACUAAUUAAUUUACCCGCCGGCAGUUAGCCGUUACUAAAUCCCUUCAUCCGUCGCAGUGGAUGAGUAUCAGGAGGGCAUCCCAUUGGAGCAAUGUCCUCCCUUCACUUGGUGUCCGGUGCCUCCUCUUGUAGUUUCUUUCAUCGAAGCCAAUUCCGACCAUGUCGAUGCAAAAUCGGAGGACUACCUGCUUGGGCUCGACCUUGUUCUUGAUUCUUUGGAGGUUACGUUGCUUCCACACUUGGAAUAGAAUCACACCCAACAUUGACCAUUGCAGCCCCCAUGCUGGAGUUCAUGGUAUGAUUUUAUUCAGCACGCCGUCAGCCUCUUCAAAGUUUUUUGCGGCGUCCAGGCUGACCAACGAGCUCGCUGCUUCGAACCCUUCUCUUAGGAUCCAUCUUGAGUACUCACAACUCAAGAAGAUGUGGUGCGCGCUUUCCUGCUCCUUCCCGCACAGUUCAUGUAAAGAGUCCGUAGAUCGUCAUCCCGCGUCGUCUCAGUCUGUCCUUGAUUGGGAGGUUGGCUGACAUGUAUCUCCAAAAAUUGAGCGCGACUUUUGCCAUUUUAACCGCCCAUAUACCUUUUGCAAGUCUAUCCUUUGGGUGAUCCGGACGUAUGGUAGAGACUACAUUCCUGACCAAGCUAGCUGUGUCUUUCCCUAUCUAGCUCUUAACUCCGUUCGAUCCCAGGACCGCGCAUUUUGCAAUUUGGGUUCUCUGACGAAGAGUACGACUAGUUCCAAGAUAAAUGCAAGUACUACAAAUAUAGGACUAGUUUGCAUGAUAAUUUUAAUUCUUACUAUCAUUAUGAAAACAGUAACGGUAAAUGGGAGGGUCACCAUAAAAAAUACGCAAUGUUGUAGGACCAACCUGCAAAAUCUGGGAAAAGUCAUUAAAAAUAUACGUACACGUGGGCACUACUAUAGUCAAUAUAAAAAUAUCAUGGUAGGAAAAGUGAGAAAACGUCAAAUCAGAAAGAAAAAUUACAUUAAAGAAUCAUCACACACAACAAAAAAUACUUAGGGUCAAGGAAGGGAAAACUACAAAAUUACACAUGGGAUGGAGUUGGGUAAAACAACUACACCAAAUUGGAAUAACAACGGAUGAAGUUAGUUACGAAAUUAGGUUAGUUAGUAAUCACAAUCAGUUAAGUAAGAACUGCCUGUAAUUAGUAUAAAUAGAAACACAGAGUAUAUACAAAUACACAAUUCAAGUUUACUACAACGAUUGUUCUUAAUCAUCUUCUUCCUCAACUCCGAUCAACGUCGUGUAAAAUCUCAAUAUGGUAUCAUCGACCGGUAAUGCCGAUGGGGCUAUAGAUUCAGUUUCCACUGCACACAUGGCAUGGAUGGAUUAAAAACCCAGCGUGCUUCCAAAUCUUUUGCAUCUUAUAUAUAUUUAAUUCUGGGAAAACCGUUCCUUGCUUAUCUGUCCACUAUGAAUUUCUGAGGCCAUUAAUCAUUUAUUCAUAUGUCGCUAGCUUAGCAUUAGUAGCUUUAUUCUUGUCCCAUUCUUCUAAUCAUCUGCAACCAAUAAUUAAUUCAUAUCACAGUAUCAAUGUUUAACGAAUGUAUUAAUGUUCAAGUUACAAAUAGAAGAGAGUAAAAAAAAUUAGCUAAACCAACGGAGAGAAAGGGGGGGGGGAAUUAUACUAUGGUUUUAUAUUCUUAAUUUCAUAUAUGAUUGAACUUUAUUUAUGUCAAGCACAUUUAGAUAUAUCAUAGAUUAAAUUUCAUUCCUAAUCUUCUACAAAGAUUUAAGAAAAUAUCAUAUGAUACAACUUUAGUGAAGAUAUCAACCAGUUGUUGGGAGGAGCUUACUUGUAUAAUUUCCAACAAACCUUUAAUGACAAGUUCUCUGACAAAAUGGAUGUCGGUUUCAAUGUGUUUAGAACCUUUCUUUAUAACAGUAUUUUUAGCCAUAAAGAUAGCUGAGUUGUUAUCACUAUUUAUGAGUUGGAUAUAUUUAAGCCUAUGUCCUAAAUGCCUACAAAUAAAGUGUGACCAUCUCAUUUCAGCUGCCAAAGAUGCUACGGCUCUAUAUUCCGAUUCUGCACUUGAUCUAGAAACUGUAUUUUGUUUCUUUGAUGACCAGUUAACAAGAUUUUCACCAAUGAAGAGAUAGUAUUCAGAUGUGGAUUUCCUUGUAUCUGGGUCGCCUGCAAAGUCAGCUUCACAGAAUCCUACCAUCCUGUGAUGAUCAUUCAUAUUUUUUGAAAAAUGAAGCCCAUGACUGAGUGUGCCUUUUACAUAUCUCAUAAUUCUCUUUGCCGCAAUCAAGUGUGAGGUUUUUGGUUCAUUAACAAAUUAGGAAACCUGAUUAAUAGAGUAUGUGAGAUAUGGCCUAGUGAGUGAUAAAUAUUGUAAAGAGCCUACUAGUGCUCUAAAACUAGUCCCUUCAUCCUUAGACAAUUUUGAGUUUGGAAGAACAGGGUAUUUACACGGUUUGCAGUUCAACAUAUUAUUUUUACCUAAAAUGUUAAUUGCAUAUCUUGAUUGAUUUAGUUCGAGAGAUUCAUCAAAAUUAUGAAUCACUUCCAUUCCUAGAAAUUUUUUUAGCAGACCAAGAUCUCUACAUAUGAAUUCUUGACAUAAAUGUUUGAUGAAUUUUUCAACUUAAUUCAUUACUGUUAUUUCCAGUAAUGAUUAAGUCAUCCACAUAUAUUAUAACCCAAAUGAGUAUGUUAUCUUGGUUAUAUACAAACAAUAAGGUAUCUGCUUGACUGUUUGUAAAUUCAUUUAAAACUAAGAAACUUCUAAGUCUGAAAUACCAAGCCUUAGGAGCUUGUUUAAGUCCAUAUAUGGAUUUAUUUAGAUGACAUACUAAACUUGAAUGUUCAGGUUCUACAAAUCCUGGAGGUUGAGCGAUAAAAACUUUUUCUUUUAGUUCUCCUUGUAAGAAAGCAUUCUUGACAUCAAUUUGCCUAAGCCUAUAAUUUCUAUUUACUGCUAGAGACAGGACAAUCCUAAUAGUUGAUGAUUUAACUACUGGACUAUAUAUUAAUCCAUAGUCAAUAUUUUCUUGUUGUUUAAACCCUUGUGCCACUAAUCUGGCCUUAUAUCUUUCUACUGUCCCAUCUGAUUUUCUCUUAACCUUGAAAAUCCAUUUGGUUCCAAUUACAUUCAUGUUUUUUUAGCAGGAACUGGUGAGACAUGUCUGAUUACGUCAGUCACUCCCAGGAACGCCCUUCAACAAGGACUAGGGUUCCGUCGCUUUAUGCCGGACCCCCGAAGAGAUCCACGGUGCGGAGUAAGUGUUUACUUCAAGUAUUAAAGGCAACACCUGGUAAUUGCCGACUGGGACUACCAAGUCGCUGAUUCCAGGAGUGCAUCGUCGCCUCCAGACAGGGCACUCGGGUCUGGUAGACCGAGGACCUGACCACAAGGGAGUCGGCGACUCCACCUCUGAAUCGACGACUCCCAUACCUGAGUCGCCGAUUCCCAGCCAUUACUUGGGAGGGCCCACGUCAUUAUGACACCCUUAAUUGGACACCAUAAUGGAGUGGGCCCCAUGCUAAUGAAUGGGGAAGCGCCCCCAAGACCCUAUAAAAGGGGUCCUUGGGGGUCCUCCACUCCCAGGUCAUUCCCACUUGACAGACCCCAACCAGAGCAAACUAAGGAGACCGAGUCGCCGACUCCCACGUGAGUCGCCGAUUCCCCUCCUCUUCUACAGGUACAUUGACGUAGACUCCAAAGGCUCCGGCCUUCCUCGCUGUUGGAUCGAGAUCCGAGGCUAUAAGGGGGGAUAAUAGCCUCUUUUCGAUUUAUGCAAGUUAAUAGCGGAAUUACCUGCACACACUUAAGUACACAUUGAUAUAUUGAUAAGCAAGUAAAUGACCAGAUAACUGGAUAUAUUGAUAAGCAAGUAAAUGACCAGAUAACUGGAUAUAUAUAUGAUAAGUAAAUGCUUGAACAAAUAUAUGAAUAAGGAUUUAAAGCAAUUAAUAUAACCUCAGAUAGUUGACCAGAUAACUGGAUGAGGGAUCUGCGUAAAGUAGUCAACCUCUGUAUUUGACCAGAUAACUGGAAGAGAGAUCCUUUUCAAUUAAGUGUUGUUUAGUUGUUUUU